Coregonus clupeaformis (lake whitefish) is the source of this 993-nucleotide long non-coding RNA. RefSeq lists it as uncharacterized. The record is from RefSeq and is a predicted model, not a curated record. The transcript is spliced from 3 exons. Lineage: Eukaryota; Metazoa; Chordata; Actinopteri; Salmoniformes; Salmonidae.
CAGGAGUUCGCACUGGACUUCCGGACGCUGGCUGCCAACGCGGGAUGGAAUGAGAGGGCCUUCAUUGACCACUACAGAUUUAGCCUGAGGGAGGACGUGCAUCGGGAAUUGGCCUAUAUUAUAUUGUGCUCAGAGUGUAAUAUACUGUGUGUCCUCUUACUGUAAUCCUAAUAUAAUAAUAAUUAUAAUAAUUAUAAUAUCUCUGGUGGACAGAUGAGAGAAUCUGUCAAGGCUCACGUGGAAAUAUGUGAUUACGAGCAGCAGUAGUAUUUUCUGGUUUUUGAUUUUCGUCGUUGAUUAUUUGGAGGAAUCAGGAUUGGGCGAAGGCGGUGCUUAAACUGAUGCAGUAAUUUUCAAGCCCGUGUGCGGAUGAUAAACGGUUUCCACUAGAUUCCACAGCCACAAAGUCAAAAUUGGCUAUAUUGUCAAAAUUCAUGAAACAAAAAUGUGCUUUUUGGCCAUGAUAAACAUGGGUGAAAUCUGCGGAAGGGAGGGGUUUGCCCGAGAGUUUCCGUUUACGAGGGAGGAGACUUUGCUUCCUUCCUUUGCACAAAGGAACACACAGACACACACACACACGUCCUUCCUCUUCUCUCCCCUACAGGCCCAUGUUAGAGAUGACCAUUCCGUCGGUGUUGGCUCCCCCUGGCUGUCAGGUAGUUUCACUGUUCACCCAGUUUGUUCCAUACUGUCUGGAUGGAGGGAGAGCGUGGACAGACCGGGACACAGAGGCCUUUGCAGACUCAGAAUAUCUUCCACGGAGCAAUGUCAUUGGCUCAGCUCUACCUCGCUCGACCUCUGCCCUCCCUUUCAGACUACCGUUCACCAAAGGACCUUAUCUGUGUGGGAGCGGCUGCCAUCCAGGUGGUGGAGUGAUGGGGUCUCCAGGGUGGAAUGCUGCUCUGGCUGCCAUGGCUGGCCUGAAACGUGGCUGAAACCUUACCAACUCGCUCUGAUGGGAGGGAGAGAUGGAUGGAGGGAGAGAUGGAUGGA